This 468-nucleotide ribosomal RNA is filed under the name uncultured bacterium. RNAcentral's name for it is "partial 16S ribosomal RNA". It matches the Rfam family "Bacterial small subunit ribosomal RNA", at positions 28 to 507 of the family's 1533-position model. The record is from RNAcentral.
GACGAACGCUGGCGGCGUGCUUAACGCAUGCAAGUCGAACGGAAAGGCCCUGCUUUUGUGGGGUGCUCGAGUGGCGAACGGGUGAGUAACACGUGAGUAACCUGCCCUUGACUUUGGGAUAACUUCAGGAAACUGGGGCUAAUACCGGAUAGGAGCUCCUGCUGCAUGGUGGGGGUUGGAAAGUUUCGGCGGUUGGGGAUGGACUCGCGGCUUAUCAGCUUGUUGGUGGGGUAGUGGCUUACCAAGGCUUUGACGGGUAGCCGGCCUGAGAGGGUGACCGGCCACAUUGGGACGGGGAUACGGCCCGGACUCCUACGGGAGGCAGCAGUGGGGAAUAUUGCAAAAUGGGCGGAAGCCGGAUGCAGCAACGCCGCGUGCGGGAGGACGGCCUUCGGGUUGUAAACCGCUUUCGCCUGUGACGAAGCGUGAGUGACGGUAAUGGGUAAAGAAGCACCGGCUAACUACGUG